GACGAACGCUGGCGGCGUGCUUAACACAUGCAAGUCGAACGGAAAGGCCCUGCUUUUGUGGGGUGCUCGAGUGGCGAACGGGUGAGUAACACGUGAGUAACCUGCCCUUGACUUUGGGAUAACUUCAGGAAACUGGGGCUAAUACCGGAUAGGAGCUCCUGCUGCAUGGUGGGGGUUGGAAAGUUUCGGCGGUUGGGGAUGGACUCGCGGCUUAUCAGCUUGUUGGUGGGGUAGUGGCUUACCAAGGCUUUGACGGGUAGCCGGCCUGAGAGGGUGACCGGCCCCACUGGGUCUGAGCUACGGCCCAGCCUCCUCCGCGAGGCAGCAGUGGAGAAUAUUGCACUAUGGGCGGAAGCCUGAUGCAGCAACGCCGCGUGCGGUAUGACGGCCUUCGGUUUGUAAACCGCUUUCGCCUGUGCCGAAGCGUGAGUGACGGUAAUGGGUAAAGAAGCCCCGGCUAACUACGUG
RNAcentral lists this ribosomal RNA (468 nucleotides) under uncultured bacterium. RNAcentral describes it as "partial 16S ribosomal RNA". It matches the Rfam family "Bacterial small subunit ribosomal RNA", at positions 28 to 507 of the family's 1533-position model. The record is from RNAcentral.